This is a long non-coding RNA of Oreochromis niloticus (Nile tilapia), 713 nucleotides long. RefSeq lists it as uncharacterized. The transcript has 2 exons. The record is from RefSeq and is a predicted model, not a curated record. NCBI's taxonomy places the organism in Eukaryota, Metazoa, Chordata, Actinopteri, Cichliformes, Cichlidae.
UGGUAGUAAAUGUUUUGUUUUUUCCAGUACCAUGUAAGUAAAAUAAUUUAAUGGUAAAGUAAAUGAACAUUAUUUUCUGUUAAGACAAAUGGUUACAUAACACCCAAUGUUUCCUAAGCUUUAAUAUGAAGAUGAAAACACUGUGUCUAAGCCUUCAAAAGCAAUGCAGUUCUGUAUAAUGUGAUGCAACAUAAAAAUGUCCACAUGUCAAUGAGUAGCCAUUUUGAGUAGUCAUAUUUCACAACGAUGUCAAUUCUGUCUUCCGUAGUUGUGAGGAAGAAGUAAAAACCUAAAUGUAGAGUCACAUUGCAGAGUAUUUAAUAAAGAAAUGAGAACUAAUAUGAAUCUAAAGUUAAACAGAGUCCAAAGAGUGAGAGAAAAAAAAGACAAGGAACCAGGAUAAAUGGAGAACAUGCAGAAUAACUCAAAGCAGCACAUGAGGAAAAUGAACUGACACUUGCACAAAGAGGAACAGAGGGUUAUAUAAUAUGUACAAACAGAGGGCUGACUUUACUAAUAUAAGAUAGCUUUUGUCAGUCCCAUAGUUGGGAAAUUCACAGGGCACAUAGGCAGGGAACACACAUGAAGUAAUAUUUAACACUAUUAAUAAUUGUGUUAGUAAUUAACCCAAAAAAACAAACAAACAAGAAAACAAAUUUAAACAAAAUAGCACACACAAAAACUGGACUUUUACAGAAUACAAAUGUGUGAUA